GGAAGCCGGUUUUGGAAUGCGGGGCGCGUAUGAAAAACAUUUUGCCGCUCGGGCGUUCGAACACCUGUCGCUUCGCACUUCGAGUUUAGUAUGUUCCAAAGGCUGGUGCGAACUCAAGACAACAUCGGCGUCAUGAACGGACUCUCGAUUGGUCAUGGAGAAUCCGUCGCAGCAAACAAGGCAAGCUGCUCGUAAUUUCUUUAUUCGUCAAUUGUAAAAAA
Long non-coding RNA from Rhipicephalus microplus (southern cattle tick), 221 nucleotides. The record is from RefSeq and is a predicted model, not a curated record. NCBI's taxonomy places the organism in Eukaryota, Metazoa, Arthropoda, Arachnida, Ixodida, Ixodidae.